RNAcentral lists this ribosomal RNA (140 nucleotides) under Raillietina australis. Its description in RNAcentral is "partial 5.8S ribosomal RNA". The stretch from base 1 to 96 matches the Rfam family "5.8S ribosomal RNA", at positions 58 to 154 of the family's 154-position model. Rfam says of the family: 5.8S ribosomal RNA (5.8S rRNA) is a component of the large subunit of the eukaryotic ribosome. It is transcribed by RNA polymerase I as part of the 45S precursor that also contains 18S and 28S rRNA. The record is from RNAcentral. Lineage: Eukaryota; Metazoa; Platyhelminthes; Cestoda; Cyclophyllidea; Davaineidae.
UGAAUUAGUGUGAAUCGCAGACUGCUUUGAACAUCGACAUCUUGAACGCAUAUUGCGGCCAUAGGCUUGCCUGUGGCCACGUCUGUCCGAGCGUCGGCUUAUAAACUAUCACUGCGCGUAAUAAGCAGUGGCUUGGGAGA